Molecule: ribosomal RNA, 254 nt
Filed under: uncultured bacterium
Lineage: Bacteria
Description: partial 16S ribosomal RNA
Rfam family: Bacterial small subunit ribosomal RNA
Source: RNAcentral
UACGGGGGGGGGCAAGCGUUGUUCGGAAUUACUGGGCGUAAAGGGCUCGUAGGCGGCCAACUAAGUCGGACGUGAAAUCCCCAGGCUCAACCUGGGAACUGCGUCCGAUACUGGAUGGCUUGAAUCCGGGAGAGGGAUGCAGAAUUCCAGGUGUAGCGGUGAAAUUCGUAGAUAUCGGGAGGAACACCAGUGGCGAAGGCGGCGACCUGGACAGAUAUUGACGCUGAGGUGCGAAAGCGUGGGGAGCAAACAGG